ACGGGUGAGUAACGCGUGGGAAUCUACCGUGCCCUGCGGAAUAGCUCCGGGAAACUGGAAUUAAUACCGCAUACGCCCUACGGGGGAAAGAUUUAUCGGGGUAUGAUGAGCCCGCGUUGGAUUAGCUAGUUGGUGGGGUAAAGGCCUACCAAGGCGACGAUCCAUAGCUGGUCUGAGAGGAUGAUCAGCCACAUUGGGACUGAGACACGGCCCAAACUCCUACGGGAGGCAGCAGUGGGGAAUAUUGGACAAUGGGCGCAAGCCUGAUCCAGCCACGCCGCGUGAGUGAUGAAGGCCUUAGGGUUGUAAAGCUCCUUCACCGGAGAAGAUAAUGACGGUAUCCCGAGAAGAAGCCCCGGCUAACUUCGUGCCAGCAGCCGCGGUAAUACGAAGGGGGCUAGCGUUGUUCGGAAUUACUGGGCGUAAAGCGCACGUAGGCGGAUAUUUAAGUCAGGGGUGAAAUCCCAGAGCUCAACUCUGGAACUGCCUUUGAUACUGGGUAUCUUGAGUAUGGAAGAGGUAAGUGGAAUUCCGAGUGUAGAGGUGAAAUUCGUAGA
RNAcentral lists this ribosomal RNA (557 nucleotides) under uncultured Rhizobium sp. Its description in RNAcentral is "bacterial SSU rRNA". It matches the Rfam family "Bacterial small subunit ribosomal RNA", at positions 102 to 694 of the family's 1533-position model. The record is from RNAcentral. Lineage: Bacteria; Pseudomonadati; Pseudomonadota; Alphaproteobacteria; Hyphomicrobiales; Rhizobiaceae.